AUAUUUCACAGCCUGGCGGGGAUGAGAAGCCCGGACCGGGUUCGACUACUGGCGCAGCGAGUUGGACAGACUGAGCGCACAGCGAACAGGCUGCCCGCAGGGCGAGCGAAGCGAGUCAAUCCCCGCCUCACCGCCA
This 136-nucleotide small RNA is filed under the name Citrobacter werkmanii. RNAcentral describes it as "RtT sRNA". It matches the Rfam family "RtT RNA". From Rfam's summary of the family: This family represents a bacterial cis-regulatory element known as RtT RNA. The exact function of RtT is unknown although it is thought that it may be involved in changing the cellular response in relation to amino acid starvation. RNAcentral also lists the same sequence under 2 other names. Lineage: Bacteria; Pseudomonadati; Pseudomonadota; Gammaproteobacteria; Enterobacterales; Enterobacteriaceae. The record is from RNAcentral.